AACCUGCCUCAUACUCGGGGAUAGCCUUUCGAAAGAAAGAUUAAUAUCCGAUAGCAUAUAUUUCCCGCAUGGGUUUUAUAUUAAAGAAAUUCGGUAUGAGAUGGGGAUGCGUUCCAUUAGUUUGUUGGCGGGGUAACGGCCCACCAAGACUACGAUGGAUAGGGGUUCUGAGAGGAAGGUCCCCCACAUUGGAACUGAGACACGGUCCAAACUCCUACGGGAGGCAGCAGUGAGGAAUAUUGGUCAAUGGACGCGAGUCUGAACCAGCCAAGUAGCGUGAAGGAUGACUGCCCUAUGGGUUGUAAACUUCUUUUAUAUGGGAAUAAAGUGGUCCACGUGUGGAUUUUUGUAUGUACCAUAUGAAUAAGGAUCGGCUAACUCCGUGCCAGCAGCCGCGGUAAUACGGAGGAUCCGAGCGUUAUCCGGAUUUAUUGGGUUUAAAGGGAGCGUAGGCGGAUUGUUAAGUCAGUUGUGAAAGUUUGCGGCUCAACCGUAAAAUUGCAGUUGAUACUGGCAGUCUUGAGUGCAGUAGAGGUGGGCGGAAUUCGUGGUGUAGCGGUGAAAUGCUUAGAUAUCACGAAGAACUCCGAUUGCGAAGGCAGCUCACUGGAGUGUAACUGACGCUGAUGCUCGAAAGUGUGGGUAUCAAACAGGAUUAGAUACCCUGGUAGUCCACACAGUAAACGAUGAAUACUCGCUGUUUGCGAUAUACAGU
RNAcentral lists this ribosomal RNA (715 nucleotides) under uncultured bacterium. RNAcentral's name for it is "bacterial SSU rRNA". It matches the Rfam family "Bacterial small subunit ribosomal RNA", at positions 123 to 837 of the family's 1533-position model. The record is from RNAcentral.